GAGCGAACGCUGGCGGCGUACUUAACACAUGCAAGUCGAACGAGGAUCGCGGCGUGAGCAAUCAUGUCGCGGUUCGAGUGGCGGACGGGUGAGUAACACGUGGGUAACCUGCCCUCGAGACCGGGAUACCCCCUCGAAAGGGGGGCUAAUACUGGAUACGCUCUCCAGGUCACAAGAACGGGAGAGGAAAGGUGGCGCAAGCUGCCGCUCAAGGAGGGGCUCGCGGCCUAUCAGCUAGUUGGUGAGGUAACGGCUCACCAAGGCGAUGACGGGUAGCUGGUCUGAGAGGACGACCAGCCACACGGGGACUGAGACACGGCCCCGACUCCUACGGGAGGCAGCAGUGGGGAAUUUUCCGCAAUGGGCGAAAGCCUGACGGAGUGACGCCGCGUGGGGGACGAAGGCCUUCGGGUCGUAAACCCCUGUCAGAGGGAAAGAAGGGUGCCGGCGCGAUAACCGCCGGCAUUUGACGGUACCUUCAGAGGAAGCCCCGGCCAACUCUGUGCCAGCAGCCGCGGUAAGACAGAGGGGGCAAGCGUUGCUCGGAAUUACUGGGCGUAAAGGGCGUGUAGGCGGGAUGGCAAGUCGGUCGUGAAAGCCUUCGGCUCAACCGAAGAAGUGCGUCCGAUACUGCCGUCCUUGAGGGUUGGAGAGGAGACUGGAAUUCCCGGU
RNAcentral lists this ribosomal RNA (672 nucleotides) under uncultured bacterium. RNAcentral's name for it is "bacterial SSU rRNA". It matches the Rfam family "Bacterial small subunit ribosomal RNA", at positions 27 to 674 of the family's 1533-position model. The record is from RNAcentral.